UACGAAGGGGGCUAGCGUUGUUCGGAAUUACUGGGCGUAAAGCGCACGUAGGCGGGUUGUUAAGUCAGGGGUGAAAUCCUGGAGCUCAACUCCAGAACUGCCUUUGAUACUGAAGAUCUUGAGUUCGGGAGAGGUGAGUGGAACUGCGAGUGUAGAGGUGAAAUUCGUAGAUAUUCGCAAGAACACCAGUGGCGAAGGCGGCUCACUGGCCCGAUACUGACGCUGAGGCGCGAAAGCGUGGGGAGCAAACAGG
RNAcentral lists this ribosomal RNA (253 nucleotides) under uncultured bacterium. Its description in RNAcentral is "partial 16S ribosomal RNA". It matches the Rfam family "Bacterial small subunit ribosomal RNA", at positions 524 to 776 of the family's 1533-position model. The record is from RNAcentral.